GACGAACGCUGGCGGCGUGCUUAACACAUGCAAGUCGAGCGGAGCUGCCAACGGGUGAGUAACGCGUGAGUAACUGCCCACCUCUCUGGGAUAACAGUUGACAACGGCUGCUAAUACCUGAUAGUGGGGGAUGGGUCGGGUCCUAUCAGCUUGUUGGUGGGGUAGUGGCCUACCAAGGCGACGACGGGUAGCCGGCCUGAGAGGGGGACCGGCCACAUUGUGCUGGGAUACGGGCCAAACGCCUACUGGAGGCAGCAGUGGGGAAUAUUUCACAAUGGGGGAAGCCCUGAUGCAGCACCGCCGCGUGCGGGAUGACGUCCUUCGGGUUGUAAACCGCUUUCAGCCAUGACGCGGUAGUGGCAGAAGAAGCACCGGCUAACUACUUGCCAGCAGCCGCGUAAUAC
Molecule: ribosomal RNA, 404 nt
Filed under: uncultured bacterium
Lineage: Bacteria
Description: partial 16S ribosomal RNA
Rfam family: Bacterial small subunit ribosomal RNA
Source: RNAcentral